UGCAAGCUCGAACGAUGAAGCCCAGCUUGCUGGGUGGAUUAGUGGCGAACGGGUGAGUAACACGUGAGUAACCUGCCCUUAACUCUGGGAUAAGCCUGGGAAACUGGGUCUAAUACCGGAUAGGAGCGUCCACCGCAUGGUGGGUGUUGGAAAGAUUUAUCGGUUUUGGAUGGACUCGCGGCCUAUCAGCUUGUUGGUGAGGUAAUGGCUCACCAAGGCGACGACGGGUAGCCGGCCUGAGAGGGUGACCGGCCACACUGGGACUGAGACACGGCCCAGACUCCUACGGGAGGCAGCAGUGGGGAAUAUUGCACAAUGGGCGCAAGCCUGAUGCAGCGACGCCGCGUGAGGGAUGACGGCCUUCGGGUUGUAAACCUCUUUCAGUAGGGAAGAAGCGAAAGUGACGGUACCUGCAGAAGAAGCACCGGCUAACUACGUGCCAGCAGCCGCGGUAAUACGUAGGGUGCGAGCGUUAUCCGGAAUUAUUGGGCGUAAAGAGCUCGUAGGCGGUUUGUCGCGUCUGUCGUGAAAGUCCGGGGCUUAACCCCGGAUCUGCGGUGGGUACGGGCAGACUAGAGUGCAGUAGGGGAGACUGGAAUUCCUGGUGUAGCGGUGGAAUGCGCAGAUAUCAGGAGGAACACCGAUGGCGAAGGCAGGUCUCUGGGCUGUAACUGACGCUGAGGAGCGAAAGCAUGGGGAGCGAACAGGAUUAGAUACCCUGGUAGUCCAUGCCGUAAACGUUGGGCACUAGGUGUGGGGACCAUUCCACGGUUUCCGCGCCGCAGCUAACGCAUUAAGUGCCCCGCCUGGGGAGUACGGCCGCAAGGCUAAAACUCAAGGAAUUGACGGGGGCCCGCACAGCGGCGGAGCAUGCGGAUUAUUUCGAUGCAACGCGAAGAACCUUACCCAAGCUUGACAUGUUCUCGAUCGCCGUAAAGAUACGGUUUCCCCUUUGGGGCGGGUUCACAGGUGGUGCAUUGUUGUCGUCAGCUCGUGUC
Molecule: ribosomal RNA, 998 nt
Filed under: Micrococcus sp. S4.4
Lineage: Bacteria; Bacillati; Actinomycetota; Actinomycetes; Micrococcales; Micrococcaceae
Description: bacterial SSU rRNA
Rfam family: Bacterial small subunit ribosomal RNA
Source: RNAcentral